Oncorhynchus tshawytscha (Chinook salmon) is the source of this 2686-nucleotide long non-coding RNA. NCBI's taxonomy places the organism in Eukaryota, Metazoa, Chordata, Actinopteri, Salmoniformes, Salmonidae. The record is from Ensembl.
CCUCCAUCGAGUUUUAAACCAGUCUUUCAUACUUGAUAGCUAAUAGCUUUUGGGAAAGAACAGUUUAAUACAUUUGAUUUAUUACCACCGAAUGUUUGGAAAUACCGAACAAUAAUAUACUAGGGGCACCCAUUCUGUUGAUACACACUACCGGUCAAAGGUUUUAGAACCUGGAUGGCUACUUUGAAGAAUCUCAAAUAUAAACUAUACUUACACAUUUUUGGUUACUACAUGAUUCCAUAUGUGUUAUUUCAUAGUUUUGAUGUCUUCACUAUUAUUCUACAAUGUAGAAAAUAGUAAUAAAUAAAAAAAACUCUUGAAUUAGUAGGUGUUUUAAAACGUUUGACCGGUAGUGUAGAUAGAUUAGCUAGCCUGGAUUUAGCUAGCCUGGAUUUUGAAUUGUGUACGGAGUGGCUCAUUUGUGGAAUACAAUAGACCUAGUUAACGAGCUAAAUUAGCUCGCUAUUAUUUUUAUUUAUAUAAACCAAUGCGCUUGCAUUUGUUUCAUUUUUUGAUUUCACAUCUGUUCGUGCACCAGAUUGGAAUGAAAGGUUUGUUUGCUCAAGUGCCAAGGACCUGAAUUCGACUGUGUGGCGGAUCCUACCCUUGCAUUCUGUCAAACCGUCUUGCCAUCGCCACAACCUGGACUAAGGGCAGGGGAGGUGGCCUGUUUCAGGGACUUGUUUCUGAAGACCAUUUCUUCACAGAGCCAUUCAGGAGAACCCUGCAACCCGGGAUGCUGAGUAGCUAAAACGGGCAUCCGAUUGUGAAGGCGGGAGGCGGCGUCGCACAAGGGAGAGGAAUCCACUGCAUUGAGGUUCAACAUCAAGUCUCAGACCACCUGUCUCAAAUCCAGCCUCUACCCACAAGCCACAAGACUGCUCCAACAGCUGAACCCUGGGCUGACUACUGCACUCUACCACACACUUACCAUUUACUCAUAUUAUGUACACAUUGAAGUCAGUUUAUUCUACUGGAACCAUGCAAUAGUUAUGUCACCUUACUGCACUACUAAUGUAUUGUAUAUACGUUCAUAUAAUUCUAUGAUGCAACUGCACUGUAAUUAUCCCACUCACUAUGCACAUGGGCAAACAAAGCUUCUAUAUCCCUAUAGGAUAUCGCUUUUAAUCUUAUUUUUGUUUACAUCUUAUUUCCUUUUAGCUGCGUGCCUCUUGUACUUGAUUUAGUUUAUUUAGUUGUUUUUAUAAGUAUGUUAUAUUUAUGUCACUUAUUUGAUUGCUUUCCUAUGUUACUUAUUUGAUUACUAUGUCGCUUUUGAGAAGCCUGCAAGUCCAUGACAAUAACAUUUGAUUUGACUGGAUUUGAUUUGUCGUAACCUGUGGAUCCAGGUGACCAGGACUGGCCCUUGUUAUCUGAUAUAUUUUGCACACACAAUCAUUUACAAUACUUUUCCACAAACUUUUAUCAAAUAGACAUGGCAUCCAAUUGACCUUAAAUAAAAAACUAUAAAUACAAAAUAAGUGGGUACAUAAAAAAGCAUCUUGCCUCUGACUGGCAGCCGUAGUGUCGCCGGGCAGGAGAAGAGCAGUUGGGCUGUGUAAGGAAACGGCAGUCACGGCAGACAAAGCGGCAUAUCGCAGGCGCCCCGUGAAUGAGGAGAUUGGCAAAAAAAAUCUGUCGCACAUCGCGGGACCACUCUUGAGGGAUGCCAGGCUCCUGCUCAUUGCUAACUGGGUUAAAUACAUUGGGGCUACAAUUACUAUAUAGGAGUCACUUUAACAUUUUACUGCACCGGGCCAAAUCAGAGUUACACAGAGUGAUUCUUGGUAGUCUUAAAUCUAUUUUGAAACAAAAGUAUACACCUGGGCUUAAAAAAAAGAAGACACCUGUACCAUGAGUUGAAAUGUAUUCAAUUUUGAGUUUGCAUGCCAAUAUUACACUUUAUAUACAUCACAGAGGACUGAAAUAACCAAACUGUUUGUAAUAGAAACACCAUCUUUUCAUAAUGUUUUAAAGAAUAAUCUUUAUUAAUGAUGCUGAAACUAUGAAAAAUAUUAAUAACAUUCCACCCAUGAGGCCAAAGAGGGCGCUUUUGGUCAUUGACUGCUGGAUAGGGUUACAGACAGGAGCUACCGUACCUUAAAGACAUGUAAUAUCCUGCUAGGAUAUAUUGUGUUCUGUGUGAUUACGUCUAGCCUAUCACAUGCUGCAUCAUUGGCAUAAAGGUCACGGAAGUUUACGUCAAGCUCACAUCCCUUUUGGAUCAAGAUGGCAAAAUAAAUAAGUCAAUAUUUGUUGUCAUUCCCUUUCUUUUAAUUAGACACUAAGAGUGACAGUCAAGUCAUUGUGCGUUCCAACACCGAGGAGGGAUUGGGAUUAAUCAAUUUGACCUGACGAGGGUCGAGCUAAUGCUCUCUGGACCGAUAUGUACUAAGAACAAGAACGGGGGGGAAAGGACGAUAUGUAUUUAACAUGUGGACACAAACGCAGAUGCAAAGGUACUGGAAACGUAUUACGACAAGAAUGAGGAAUACGUCAUUCCCAAUGCAAACCCGUUUUUUGCUAGAUACAAGUUUCAAGAAAAGCUACAAGGUGUUAGCGAGUCCGUCAAGCAUUUUGUUACCCAGCUUAUGCCUGCCUAUACCAUACAUUAAAGAUUUGGGAGCCACCUCAACGACAUGGGCGCCACCUCAACGACAUGGGCGCCACCUCAACGACAUGGGAG